GAUGAACGCUAGCUACAGGCUUAACACAUGCAAGUCGAGGGGAAACGAUAUUGGAAGCUUGCUUCCGAUAGGCGUCGACCGGCGCACGGGUGAGUAACGCGUAUCCAACCUGCCCACCACUUGGGGAUAACCUUGCGAAAGUAAGACUAAUACCCAAUGAUAUCUCUAGAAGACAUCUGAAGGAGAUUAAAGAUUUAUAGGUGAUGGAUGGGGAUGCGUCUGCUUAGCUUGUUGGCGGGGUAACGGCACACCAAGGCGACGAUCAGUAGGGGUUCUGAGAGGAAGGGCCCCCACAUUGGAACUGAAACACGGUCCAAACUCCUACGGGAGGCAGCAGUGAGGAAUAUUGGUCAAUUGGCGAGAGCCUGAACCAGCCAAGUAGCGUGCAGGAUGACGGCCCUAUGUGUUGUAAACUGCUUUUAUAAGUGAAUAAAGUGAGUCUCGUGAGACUUUUUGCAUGUACCUUAUGAAUAAGGACCGGCUAAUUCCGAGCCAGCCGCCGCGGUAA
RNAcentral lists this ribosomal RNA (508 nucleotides) under uncultured bacterium. RNAcentral's name for it is "partial 16S ribosomal RNA". It matches the Rfam family "Bacterial small subunit ribosomal RNA", at positions 28 to 523 of the family's 1533-position model. The record is from RNAcentral.